GUGUUCAAUUCUGUUUGAUCCUGGCAGAUGCUACUGCUAUUGGGAUUCGAUUAAGCCAUGCAAGUCGAAC
RNAcentral lists this ribosomal RNA (70 nucleotides) under Methanobrevibacter sp. RNAcentral describes it as "partial 16S ribosomal RNA". Lineage: Archaea; Methanobacteriati; Methanobacteriota; Methanobacteria; Methanobacteriales; Methanobacteriaceae. The record is from RNAcentral.